UGGGCAACCUGCCCCUAGCUCUGGGAUAACUCCAAGAAAUUGGGGCUAAUACCGGAUAUGACCGCUGACCGCAUGGUCUGGUGGUGGAAAGAUUUAUCGGCUGGGGAUGGGCCCGCGGCCUAUCAGCUUGUUGGUGGGGUAGUGGCCUACCAAGGCGACGACGGGUAGCCGGCCUGAGAGGGUGACCGGCCACACUGGGACUGAGACACGGCCCAGACUCCUACGGGAGGCAGCAGUGGGG
This 241-nucleotide ribosomal RNA is filed under the name uncultured bacterium. Its description in RNAcentral is "partial 16S ribosomal RNA". It matches the Rfam family "Bacterial small subunit ribosomal RNA", at positions 118 to 359 of the family's 1533-position model. The record is from RNAcentral.